Molecule: ribosomal RNA, 268 nt
Filed under: uncultured bacterium
Lineage: Bacteria
Description: partial 16S ribosomal RNA
Rfam family: Bacterial small subunit ribosomal RNA
Source: RNAcentral
UACAGAGGGGCAAGCGUUGUUCGGAAUUACUGGGCGUAAAGGGCUCGUAGGCGCCAACUAAGUCCGACGUGAAAUCCCAAGGCUUAACCUUGGAACUGCGUCGGAUACUGGAUGGCUUGAAUUCGGGGAGAGGGAUGCAGAAGUUCCAGGUGUAGGCGGUGAAAUGCGUAGAUAUCUGGAGGAAUACCGGUGGCGAAGGCGGCAAUCCUGGACCGACAUUGACGCUGAUGAGCGAAAGCUAAGGGGAGCAAACGGGGAUUAAGAAACC